GUGCAAACCCCGGAACAUUAGGUACGGCCGCCAGAGUUGUAUCCUGGCUCAGGAUGAACGCUAGCGGCAGGCUUAAUACAUGCAAGUCGAGGGGCAGCAUGACUGUAGCAAUACAGUUGAUGGCGACCGGCAAACGGGUGCGGAACACGUACAGAACCUUCCUUCGAGCGGGGAAUAGCCCAGAGAAAUUUGGAUUAAUACCCCAUAGUACAACGAAGUGGCAUCACUUUGUUGUUAAAGAUUUAUCACUUGAAGAUGGCUGUGCGGCUGAUUAGGUAGUUGGCGGGGUAACGGCCCACCAAGCCUGCGAUCAGUAACUGGUGUGAGAGCACGACCAGUCACACGGGCACUGAGACACGGGCCCGACUCCUACGGGAGGCAGCAGUAAGGAAUAUUGGUCAAUGGACGAAAGUCUGAACCAGCCAUGCCGCGUGGAGGAUGAAGGUCCUCUGGAUUGUUAACUUCUUUUAUAUGGGACGAAAAAAGGGUUUUCUAACUCGU
Molecule: ribosomal RNA, 501 nt
Filed under: uncultured Bacteroides sp.
Lineage: Bacteria; Pseudomonadati; Bacteroidota; Bacteroidia; Bacteroidales; Bacteroidaceae
Description: bacterial SSU rRNA
Rfam family: Bacterial small subunit ribosomal RNA
Source: RNAcentral